This 1948-nucleotide long non-coding RNA is filed under the name Equus caballus (horse). RNAcentral's name for it is "lncRNA (ENSECAG00000058091.1)". Lineage: Eukaryota; Metazoa; Chordata; Mammalia; Perissodactyla; Equidae. The record is from RNAcentral.
CUGCUGUCUUUAGAUGCCCCACCCUGGCGCCUGGUCCAAUGCCUCCCAAGCUCGAGGGAGACGACGGACGGAGCAGACGCCCCCCGCCUGCUGCCUGCCCAGCGCGUGGCAGCGGAGCCGCCUUCCGCAGAGGCGGAGGGCCCACCAACGUGCGGGCCUCUGCUCGUCAGGGCCAGCGCCGCCGCGUUUCCUCUCUCCUCCCUGAGGCUGGGCCCUCAACGCACCAACGGCAAUUCACAGCAGCGUGCGCGCCAAUAAUAGAUGAGUCUCUGAUUUGCAACUUCCUGUGUGUGUAGGCUUCAGCUAUAGAGAAACCCUUCGGUCUUCCUUUCCAUCCGACUUACCCCUCCCUGUUGGAGAAGAAUCUGGUGGUGAUCUCAUUGGUGGAUGUGGGAGAAGUCACUGAGAAAGCUUACUUCAGCCUUGUCCUCUUUCUCUCUCCUUCUGGAGCCAUCUAUCCAAGGGCCCUGCCUUCAGGUCUAUCUAUCGUGUUGCAAACGUCCUGAUCAGGAGGGAGUUGUGCGUUGUCACACGUGCUCACGCCAGGAAGAGCAUGAGUGCAAGUAAAGAAGAGGAAAAAAGGAGAAAAUGAUCUAAUAUUCCAAAAUUAAGAAGAAAAAGAGGAGGAUCCAGCCAAGGAGACUGAGAAGGAGCAACCAGCAAGAUAGGAAGAAAACUAAGAAACAGUUGCAUUCUGGAAACCAAGUGAAGAAAGUUUCUUAAGGGAAAGGGAGUGAUCAAAUGCGUCAAAUGAUACCAAGAGGGCAAGUCAGAUGAACACUGAGAACUGUCCACCAUAUUUAGGACCAUGGAGGUCAAUCGGUGACCUCAAGAAGAACAAUUUUUAGACUCAUGAGGGAGAAAGUCUGGUUAGAUUUCAUUAAAAGAGAAAGGAAGAAGAAGUGAAAUCAAGGAGCAAAGACAACUCUUUUGCUCCAAAGAGGAACAAAGAAAUGGGGUAGUAGGUGGAAUGGAAAAUGGGUGAAGAGAAAUAUUUUUUAAGAUAAAAGAAGAAAUAAUAUGGGGGUAGGGCACAAAGGGGGAAGUGGUGUACCCACAGCAUGACUAACAAUAAUGUACAACUGAAAUCUCACAAGGUUGUAAUCUAUCAUAACAGUAAUAAAAAAAAAAAAAGAAAGAAAAAAAAGAAGAAAUAAUAUAUUUAUAUAUUCCUGAGAAUUAUUCCAUAGAGAGGGAAAAUUUGAUGAUGAGGAUGGGAGAAGGGAAUAUUGCUAGAGCAAUGUCCUUGAGUAGGCUACAGAGUAUAAGAUCUAAAGGUGAGGAAUACAAGACUGGUAAUGGAUCUAAGCUUUUACAUGGGCAGUAGAGUGGAAGGGUUUGGGGAGGUAAGGAGUGGGAGGAGCAAAGAAUAGAAUGGAAUGUACAGAGGCUGUGUGGAGUUUCCCUCAAUUUUUCAAACACUAUUCAUGUAAGAAUAAACACUUCACUGUAAAUGUGGUGUUUAGCAACUGAUUGCCUGAAGUAUAGAUUAUCCAAGAUUUUUCAUACCACGGCUUGCUAUAAUCUCCUAAGGAUUGGUGAGGAAAAGAAAUGGAGAUAAAACUCAAAAUCCAUGUCAAUUUGGACAUUGUAAGCAGAUCAUCAGAUUAAAGUUAGGUAAUGAUAAGAGGUUAUUUGUCAAAUACAUUUAAGAAUUUUCUGAGGACUUCACAUACUUAUGUUGCUCACAUUUUCCAUUGCCAUGACAUUUCCAAGUUUCAUGUUUGCGUUAUACGUCUAUGGAUGUGCAACUCAAAAUUAUAGUUUUAAAAAAGAACAAAUACAUUUGGUGGAAAUCUGGGAUCUUUGGCAUAGCUAAUAGAGAAGAGACUUCUAGUUAUUAAUUACAAUAAACAAACGUGUCCAUAAUGACAGAGUUUACAGCAAUGAGGCAUAUUUCUUCUUGCGAUAAUAAUUAAUUGGCUGAAGACUUGCUGGUCCAAUGGAA